GAUGAAGAACGUAGCGAAAUGCGAUAAGUAAUGUGAAUUGCAGAAUUCAGUGAAUCAUCGAGUCUUUGAACGCACAUUGCGCCCCCUGGUAUCCCGGGGGGCAUGCCUGUCCGAGCGUCAUUGCCGCCCUCAAGCACGGCUUGUGUGUUGGGCCCCCGCCCCCCGGCUUCGGGGGGCGGGCCCGAAAGGCAGCGGCGGCACCGCGUCCGGUCCUCGAGCGUAUGGGGCUUCGUCACCCGCUCUGUAGGCCCGGCCGGCGCCCGCCGGCGACCCCAAUCAAUCUUUCCAGGUUGACCUCGGAUCAGGUAGGGAUACCCGCUGAACUUAAGCAUAUCAAUAAGCGGAGGA
This 348-nucleotide unclassified non-coding RNA is filed under the name soil metagenome. RNAcentral describes it as "partial contains 5.8S ribosomal RNA, internal transcribed spacer 2, and large subunit ribosomal RNA". The stretch from base 1 to 120 matches the Rfam family "5.8S ribosomal RNA", at positions 35 to 154 of the family's 154-position model. The record is from RNAcentral.